This 467-nucleotide ribosomal RNA is filed under the name uncultured bacterium. RNAcentral describes it as "bacterial SSU rRNA". It matches the Rfam family "Bacterial small subunit ribosomal RNA", at positions 355 to 822 of the family's 1533-position model. The record is from RNAcentral.
UGGGGAAUAUUGGACAAUGGGCGAAAGCCUGAUCCAGCCAUGCCGCGUGUGUGAAGAAGGUCUUCGGAUUGUAAAGCACUUUAAGUUGGGAGGAAGGGCAGUUACCUAAUACGCAUCUGUUUUGACGUUACCGACAGAAUAAGCACCGGCUAACUCUGUGCCAGCAGCCGCGGUAAUACAGAGGGUGCAAGCGUUAAUCGGAAUUACUGGGCGUAAAGCGCGCGUAGGUGGUUUGUUAAGUUGGAUGUGAAAUCCCCGGGCUCAACCUGGGAACUGCAUUCAAAACUGACAAGCUAGAGUAUGGUAGAGGGUGGUGGAAUUUCCUGUGUAGCGGUGAAAUGCGUAGAUAUAGGAAGGAACACCAGUGGCGAAGGCGACCACCUGGACUGAUACUGACACUGAGGUGCGAAAGCGUGGGGAGCAAACAGGAUUAGAUACCCCGGUAGUCUGAGCGGGCUGGCAAGGCG